RNAcentral lists this ribosomal RNA (452 nucleotides) under uncultured organism. RNAcentral's name for it is "partial 16S ribosomal RNA". It matches the Rfam family "Bacterial small subunit ribosomal RNA", at positions 333 to 801 of the family's 1533-position model. The record is from RNAcentral.
ACACUCCUGCGGGAGGCAGCAGUGGGGAAUAUUGGACAAUGGGCGCAAGCCUGAUCCAGCCAUGCCGCGUGAGUGAUGAAGGCCCUAGGGUUGUAAAGCUCUUUCACCGGUGAAGAUAAUGACGGUAACCGGAGAAGAGGCCCCGGCUAACUUCGUGCCAGCAGCCGCGGUAAUACGAAGGGGGCUAGCGUUGUUCGGAUUUACUGGGCGUAAAGCGCACGUAGGCGGACUAUUAAGUCAGGGGUGAAAUCCCGGGGCUCAACCCCGGAACUGCCUUUGAUACUGGUAGUCUUGAGUUCGAGAGAGGUGAGUGGAAUUCCGAGUGUAGAGGUGAAAUUCGUAGAUAUUCGGAGGAACACCAGUGGCGAAGGCGGCUCACUGGCUCGAUACUGACGCUGAGGUGCGAAAGCGUGGGGAGCAAACAGGAUUAGAAACCCCAGUAGUCCCAUGAU